This 43-nucleotide non-coding RNA is filed under the name Escherichia coli. RNAcentral describes it as "ES036 (CssrF) sRNA". It matches the Rfam family "ES036 (CssrF) sRNA". Rfam says of the family: Differentially expressed under several chemical stress conditions. Also identified in Shigella as CssrF. RNAcentral also lists the same sequence under 1 other name. The record is from RNAcentral. Lineage: Bacteria; Pseudomonadati; Pseudomonadota; Gammaproteobacteria; Enterobacterales; Enterobacteriaceae.
AAAGUCCUGCAGAUUCAAUAUAUUGCAGGUACUGCGUAGGCCU